AGGCUGAGAUAACAAAUCGUAUCAUUCUUCAGGGGCUCAAGGCUGGACUUGAUCGAUCCAAAGGAUAAUGGGUCGAAGAUCUCUACAAUAUUUUCUGGGCUUACAGAACUACAUUUUGACUCCCAACCGAUGAGACCCCUUUCAACCUGGCAUACGGAACGGAAGCUGUUAUCCCCAUGGAGAUCGGGCUCCCCUCACUAAGAGUGGAGAGCUAUGAUGCCGCCUCCAACUCAUCUCAGCUCAGGAACAACUUGGACCUCGUCGAGGAAACCAAGGAGGCCGC
Molecule: long non-coding RNA, 283 nt
Filed under: Phoenix dactylifera (date palm)
Lineage: Eukaryota; Viridiplantae; Streptophyta; Magnoliopsida; Arecales; Arecaceae
Description: long non-coding RNA (PDAC_LNC004583)
Source: RNAcentral